Molecule: ribosomal RNA, 447 nt
Filed under: uncultured bacterium
Lineage: Bacteria
Description: bacterial SSU rRNA
Rfam family: Bacterial small subunit ribosomal RNA
Source: RNAcentral
CCUACGGGAGGCUGCAGUGGGGAAUAUUGCACAAUGGGCGCAAGCCUGAUGCAGCAACGCCGCGUGGGGGAUGACGGCCUUCGGGUUGUAAACCUCUUUUAGUAAGGAAGAAGCCUUCGGGUGACGGUACUUGCAGAAAAAGCACCGGCUAACUACGUGCCAGCAGCCGCGGUAAUACGUAGGGUGCAAGCGUUGUCCGGAAUUAUUGGGCGUAAAGAGCUCGUAGGCGGUUUGUCGCGUCUGCUGUGAAAUCCCGAGGCUCAACCUCGGGCGUGCAGUGGGUACGGGCAGACUGGAGUGCGGUAGGGGAGAAUGGAAUUCCUGGUGUAGCGGUGGAAUGCGCAGAUAUCAGGAGGAACACCGAUGGCGAAGGCAGUUCUCUGGGCCGUAACUGACGCUGAGGAGCAAAAGCGUGGGGAGCGAACAGGAUUAGAUACCCGAGUAGUC